CGAAUGGAGCUCGGUUGGUUUCUGCUAGUGUUGAGAUGAACGAUAUUAUGGCUAGAGGUCAUGCAGGAAUAGUCAGAUGUACUCUUGGGUGGUAAUUAGUGUGACUAGUGUAAAGGAUCCAUUUAUUAGCAGUACUGAUAGGAGAACAAUGGCGAGUGUGACUUCGUAUGAGAUUGGGCUACAGCUCGUAGGGCUCCAAUUAGGGCGUAUUUGGAAUUUGAAGCUCAUCCUGAUCAUAGGAUAGAGUAGACGGCGAGGCUUGAUAUAGCUAGCAUAAAUAGUACUCCUAGACUUAUGUUAAUAAGUGGAUAUGGUAUGGGUAAGGGGAUUCACAUGGUGAGGUCUAGCGUGAGGGCUAGGAUGGGUGCUAUGAUGAAUAUGAAUAUGGAAGAUGUAAGGGGUCGGAGAGGUUCUUUAGUGAAGAGUUUUACGGCGUCUGCAAUAGGUUGGAGCAGGCUGUAUGGUCCUACAAUGUUUGGUCCUUUGCGGAGUUGUAUAUAUCUUAGUACUUUGCGUCCAACUAGGGUUAGGAAGGCUACGGCAAGGAGAAUGGGGAUAAUGAGUGAGAGGAUGUUGAUUAUGAACAUAUUGUUAGGAAGAGGAAUUGAACCUCUGAUAGUAAAAGUUUAAGUUUUAUGCAAUUACCAGGCUCUGCCACCCUAACAAACCCGAGCUCUAUGGGUGAUGUUGUUGAAUAAACUGUCUAGAUUAAGAUUAUAUCAUCUAUUUGGUUAAAGGCGCUUUGGUAAAGUGGGCCUUAUUUCUCUU
Molecule: long non-coding RNA, 768 nt
Filed under: Lynx pardinus (Iberian lynx)
Lineage: Eukaryota; Metazoa; Chordata; Mammalia; Carnivora; Felidae
Source: RNAcentral